Molecule: long non-coding RNA, 395 nt
Organism: Orbicella faveolata
Lineage: Eukaryota; Metazoa; Cnidaria; Anthozoa; Scleractinia; Merulinidae
Source: RefSeq, a predicted model, not a curated record
AACCGCUGACAAAUAAGACUGAGCAUGCAUUCACGCGGGAGUAGUAGGAAAGAUGAAGGAUGUUGCUGAAGGCGCGGGAGAUUUUAAAAACCACCUAGGUCGCUACACUGUAGCUGCUGUCGUCUACUGCAAGGUUUGUUUGACUUGACACUUGACAUGAACGCUUUGCAACGCUCGUUUUGGGGAAAGCAACGUGUGGUGUAUUUCAAUAAGCACUUUCAAUAUGCUUGAUGAUAAGUCCACAAAGCAACUGCUUAAAAAUAACGAGCUGAUGGAAAAGGUGGGACUGUAUGUUGAAAGACCGUUUCCUGACUUUCCAAAAUAUUAUAGUAAUAAUGAACUACAUGGCUGUAGAGAGUUGGUCUGUUAAUGCUGGUUAAUGACAUUCUAAUACU